UGCCUUAGUGAGGGGAUUAAAAAAUCAGAAGACUCGUGUGAAGGAAUCUUGGAGUCCUUCUUAAAAGCUAACAAGGAUGGUCGUGGUUUCCACAAGAUAUUGACUUGUGUAGUUGAGAACAAUGGCAUCUACAAACCAAAAAAAAGAAAUGGAAAAGAAAUGAACCUCAAUGCGACAUUAUCUUCAUGCCUGACUGACAGCAUUGAUGAGGAAUUCAUGAAGACUUUCCC
Long non-coding RNA from Monopterus albus (swamp eel), 230 nucleotides. RefSeq lists it as uncharacterized. NCBI's taxonomy places the organism in Eukaryota, Metazoa, Chordata, Actinopteri, Synbranchiformes, Synbranchidae. The transcript has 2 exons. The record is from RefSeq and is a predicted model, not a curated record.